GAUGAAGAACGUAGCGAAAUGCGAUAAGUAAUGUGAAUUGCAGAAUUCAGUGAAUCAUCGAAUGUUUGAACGCACAUUGCGCCCGCCAGUAUUCUGGCGGGCAUGCCUGUUCGAGCGUCAUUUCAACCAUCAAGCCCCCCGGCUUGUGUUGGGGACCUGCGGCUGCCGCAGGCCCUGAAAAGCAGUGGCGGGCUCGCUGUCACACCGAGCGUAGUAGAUCUCAUCUCGCUCAGGGCGUGCUGCGGGUUCCGGCCGUUAAACCACCUUCAUAACCCAAGGUUGACCUCGGAUCAGGUAGGAAGACCCGCUGAACUUAAGCAUAUCAAUAAGCGGAGGA
This 337-nucleotide unclassified non-coding RNA is filed under the name soil metagenome. RNAcentral describes it as "partial contains 5.8S ribosomal RNA, internal transcribed spacer 2, and large subunit ribosomal RNA". The stretch from base 1 to 120 matches the Rfam family "5.8S ribosomal RNA", at positions 35 to 154 of the family's 154-position model. The record is from RNAcentral.